Molecule: ribosomal RNA, 220 nt
Filed under: uncultured bacterium
Lineage: Bacteria
Description: partial 16S ribosomal RNA
Rfam family: Bacterial small subunit ribosomal RNA
Source: RNAcentral
UAAUAUAUCGGAACGUACCCUAGGGUGGGGGAUAACGUAGCGAAAGUUACGCUAAUACCGCAUACGAUCUACGGAUGAAAGCAGGGGACCGCAAGGCCUUGCGCUCAUGGAGCGGCCGAUAUCUGAUUAGCUAGUUGGUAGGGUAAAAGCCUACCAAGGCAUCGAUCAGUAGCUGGUCUGAGAGGACGACCAGCCACACUGGGACUGAGACACGGCCCAG